This 4954-nucleotide ribosomal RNA is filed under the name Triticum aestivum (bread wheat). Its description in RNAcentral is "partial small subunit ribosomal RNA". Lineage: Eukaryota; Viridiplantae; Streptophyta; Magnoliopsida; Poales; Poaceae. The record is from RNAcentral.
CUGCUGCCACGCACGCUCGUCUCUCCUCCUUUCCCCCAAAUCUACCAAACCUUAUCUGUUCUUCUUUCAAUAAAUCGACCAGUCCUCUGUUCUCCUCCCUUUCCCAAAUCAACCAGGUCUUUCACUCGCGCUUCUCGCUGCUGCCAACCGCUGGCCGCCGGCCUUGCCAACUUCCGCUGCCAUCCGUAGCGAGGGCCCUCCAGGACGCCACGACGGGUGUGGGGUGUCUGCUGAUGUUUGCUGCUUCUUCUCCUUCCCUCACUACCUUCUCCGCUCGUGUUGCCUGCUGCCGCCGACUGAUAAACUAAUCGGUGAACUGUUGUUGAAGGGCCGAAGGAGCAAGACUGCUGCAAGAGGAAGGUAACACUGGCGAAACAGCAAACCAUGGUCCAGGAAAGCAUAUAUGUAGUUAUUGGCCAUAUGCAGGCAUCUUUUGGUCAGUCUGGUGUGUUCUAUAGUUGUGGCCAUGGACAACUUUUGGCCAGUCCGAUGUAUUCUACAGUUGAGGCAAUGGAGCACUUUUGGCCAGUCUGGUGUAUUCUAUAGUUGUGGCAAUGGAGUGGUCAUUAUCCACAAUACCAGGUAUGUUGUUGCUACAAUGUAUCUAUGUGAACAUAAAUAGUGAGCACUGGAUAAUAGUAGUAAUUAUAUAUACACAAUGUAUAUUUUGUUCCAGUCUAUGCUAUGACAUUGUGAGCCGCAUCUAUUUUGUGCACAUUUUGCUUUGUAUUUGAAAUCCCCUCCCUCUUUGCUGCUUGUCAUGCUCAGACACUGACAUAUAGGACAAAUUAACCAUACACAAUACAUGUACAUAUGAACUAAAAUACAAUGGGCAUCCUAAAGCUAACAUGGGAAAAUAAUGGAACAACCUGAAAGAAAGAAUGCAGCAAAUGGAAAGCAUAUAAUAAUGGUCUAUAAAAACCUAGCUCUUUUUUCAGCAAAAAGAAUCAGUUAUUUCUGGUUCCCUAAUUCUAGAGCUACAUAUUUCCGGUUCUUGCAAUUUAUCUGCGAUAAUCUGAUAAAGUACAACAUGCACCAACUGAACAUUUGCUAGUAUAGCUAAAAUCUGAAGCUAUCCGACACAAGGACCAUCCAAUUUUCCAAGACAGUUAGUCACUAUGUGUGAACAAGGCCAGAGGACUAAAAUAUAAAAAGCAAGCUAAGUAUUCAUCAGCAGAUUUUUCUUGUGCUUGCUAUAUGUCUGAAACAAACAAUAGUCAAAGAAUGUACUUACGAACAGACGUAAGCAGACACCAUAUCAAUAGCUAACAGCAUCACACAGCAACCCGAUCACACAUCAAGAUGGAUUGAUGGAAAUGGAAAGAUAAAGUAUGCUCUGGCAGUAGAACCAAAAUUUCCUAACCUGUAACCAUGAAAAAUAUCUGAAUACAACAAAUUAUGUCUCAUCCAUGCCAUCUAAAGAUUCUGAACCAUCCAAACAAAUUUUAUACCAAGAUUGUGGAUGCAUUCCUGCAAAAGAAUAAGAUAAAGAAAAUGCAAUAAAAAACCUCAAGUGUAGGUUUGUUUGAAAUUCAGAUAUUUUGCACAUACCUUCUUUAUGAAUCUCCAAAGAAUCAAAUAUAAAUGAUGAGAAGGAUAUCAGGAUUGUCCUAGUAGAUAUGGAAUCCGAAUAGAAGUAAGCCACGAUUCCUUGCUUCCAUUGCCGCAUUUCACUCGUAACAGAGGCUUUGAAAACAAAUAUCCUUUGCUUAUUCGUGCUACUGUUGGAUCUAUGAGGCUAGGAAGACAGACCUUUUCGUUACGCAUUUAGCCAUAUUAGAUACCUGAAAAUUGAAAAAAGCCAAUUGAUAUGAGCACAUGAAACUACAAGAAGAUACCAACUCCUAGAUACUUUGCACUUUGAAUAUUUUAUUAAGUGAAUCUGUAAGACAUGCAGAUUAUGAAUAUCAAAUAUCUUCCCUAUGGUCUUAAAUGUGGGUCUAGAUGAAUAAACAUAUUAGUCAUUUGCAUUAGGAUUGGUAAGAUUCUAAUCACCCUAGACAAUAUAUGAAGUGCAAUUGUUUGACUUGUUCUAUAUCCAAUUUCAAUUGCUUUGUUCUAUGAAAUAAGGAAGACAAAGUGUAGUCUGAUUAGGAUGCAAGUCAAUUUUUAGGUUUUCAAGCAAGGGCUGACAUAGAUAUACAAACCAGAAGAAUUUCCCCCAUUUGAAUUACUUUAUAUGUUCACUACCAGUUUCAAAUGACAAAAGGAGCAAGUGAAAGUAAAAGAAAAGUGCAUAAAAGAAAAGGUACUCGCUUGAACAGAUCUGCAAAGCUUCAUACUUGUAUCAAUGUGCUUUGUAAUAAGCAUUACUGCAUUAGUAUACAAAUAGAAACAUCAUGAUACAUAAAGAUAGGCCAGGGACAUAUGUGUUACCUUGCAAAGCACCACAGGUUUGGCCAUCAUGUUUGCGCCACCUCUCCUAGUUUUCCGGUAGGAACAAAAAAUUAAAAUAUGUCGUGUUUUUUUCGCUACCACCACCAAACCCCAAACAACAUUUAAGAAAACCCAACAGCAUUUAAGAAAGCCCAACAGUACUGAUGCAUUUACCAUUCCAAUCCUUAUAAUACUAAACUGAAAUCUGAUUCUCUUGGAGGUUUGAAAAUAUUCGAAAAGAUCCAUCUUUGUAAUGCCAUUAACGAUUCAUGAGUACAAAAAUCGCCAAAUAGACCAAAAAAUUGCUAGAAGUAGCUCAGUUCAAGUGCUACAACAGGAACCUGCGUAUAUAAAUAUAACCGUAGUUCGAAGAGGUGGGCGCUCACAUCUUUCUCCACUGUCGGCUGUCACCACAGGGCACCACUCCAACCCCUUUGUUAUCAGCAUAUACCUAAAUAUUGGUACAGCCAAAUUUACAAAAUUUAUAUAUAUUGUAUGAUAACAAUAAAAAGUAUUUUUUUAGGCUAUAAACCAAAGGUGAUUGUCCAAAGUUUAUAUGCUGCUAUCAACUAUCUCUCUAUAUAUAGUGCACGUGCUCAACCAUUUUAUUUUAACUAUACAACUAACGCCUGUUAGCACAAGCGUAGAACAUAAAAUAGCUUGUUUAUCCUCUUGGCAAUAAAUUAAAACAGCGAACCCCAGUUUCUAGUUUUGCGUGUUUCGCUCGAAGAAAAAAUGUAAAUGAAAGUGAAAGCUCAGCCCAUUGCAUGAAUAGCUACUAUAUUAUUGGAAUCUGGAAAUUCUGGCUCACAUAUUGUUUGCCUUCAACCUUCGAAAAUUUAAACUGAAGAGUGGAGCGAUGUGGAAACCUAAGUAGCAGCAAUUUGUUUUCUGCUAACCUCCCUCUCAGAUAUCACUUCCUUCACCAACAAAAUAGAUGUGCACCCACAGGAUAAAAAUCCAUGUGUGUAGACCUAGCAAUGCAUGUGUGAGCUCAGAGUGUCGUUUUUUCGGCAAGGACAUGAAAGGUAACCCUUAACUAACCCUUGACAUCUGGCAGAAUUAAACACUACCUGCUUAUGUGCCCUCACCAACACGCUUCAUAUUGAUUUAGGAUGGUCUUGUCUAAAGCUAAAUUGUCUUCAUGUUCAUGCUGCAAUUUUCUUUGCCUUCAAACAAUAAAUUGUAGAUGUGGAAACAGUAGAGAAUAGUCUAUAUGCGCACCAAAUGAGGGCAACAGAAGUAUCACCCAUAUGAAAAACGUCACUAUGCGAGCAUAAAUUUUCAGGAAAUGAUAGCAUGGUGAGAUUCAUCGUGUAAUAAUGAUUAUAAGCACAGACAUACAUUUGAACAAACAGAAGAUUAAGAAAGGGGAACAUGCAACAAAAAAAGCUUUAGAAAAGCAGUACUAAUUUCACCUCUGCAACAGAGAAAGUACAAUUAGUUGGCAUUUCCUACUGAUGGCUAAUUGCCUGAAUAAAAAAUGAGCAGUAGGUAUAAUGAUGGUGUUAUUUUCUUCCGCAAGCACCAAAACUUCGCCAAAAAGGUAAAAUAUAUUGGGAGCAUUGUACCUUUAUUUUCGCUAUAAUCCUUGCUCUUGCUUCUAGAAUAUAUGAUGGCAAUGCGAGCUAGCCAGCGUCUUCAUAUUAGUCCUAUCCAAAAAGCACACCAAAGUUAACAGUUGGAUUGAUUGUAUUAUCUCUGAAAUGCCAUUAUCAGAAAUUUAGCUGAUGCUUAAUAGUAAAUAGAAGUGCAGGGCUUGCUUAUCACACUUACUUAGGACUCAUGGGCCUUAUCUAAUUCCCCUCCAAAGCAAACCAUCUUUCUAUGCGAAAUGGGCAAAUGUGUAGGCAAAAAUGCUAUAUACCAAAGAGUAUAUGGCAAUCUAAACUGAAGUGCUACUCACAAGAAACCGAAUAUGAUAACAUGUUGUUGCUUGCUCUAAUAAUAAAUAAGGUGUUGGAAAGGAGGGGGGUCUAUUUUAUUAUACAGUUUAGUUUAGUGAUCUGAUAAAAAAUAAGGGCAUGUCCAAACCAGACAUGCGCAAGAGCCUCAAAUCCAUCAGGACACUUUGGUUAGAUCAGAAUGAGCAGAAAUGAAAAAUAGUGGCAAAUUCAGCACAAGGGAAAACAAGUUUUGCAUCUACACAACAGUGAAGCAAGGUAAUGAGCUAAAUUAGUGGACCUAGCACAUAUCUGAUUCACUCUACACUGUAGGCUUACAUAGCAUCACAGUAAUCUCCGGUCACUCAUACGAAACCAAGCAAAUUGAAGACCAAGAUUUGCAUAUGGUAAAUGAAGGAAUGAAGCCAUACAUGCAGGAGAAAUUCGUCGCAUCGUGUUGCAAAACCAGAAAAGUAAAACCAAACCCCCUCUCCUAGAGCCUCUUCCCUAUGAUUUUCUUAGACACCAUGGGAAUGAUGAGGGCAGAAGUUUAGAGCUAGCAUGGAAAGGGACACCAUGGUACAUUGAAAAGGAGAGGCUCUUUGUACAGCAAAACAGCUCAGUGCACUCGGCGGGCAAGGUUGCGGAAGGAGGGUUGCUGCCAUCAGGGUAGGAAUCAACCCUCACCCAAACCC